CAAGCCCUGGAAACGGGGUCUAAUACCGGAUAACACUCCUGCCUGCAUGGGCGGGGGUUGAAAGCUCCGGCGGUGAAGGAUGAGCCCGCGGCCUAUCAGCUUGUUGGUGGGGUAAUGGCCCACCAAGGCGACGACGGGUAGCCGGCCUGAGAGGGCGACCGGCCACACUGGGACUGAGACACGGCCCAGACUCCUACGGGAGGCAGCAGUGGGGAAUAUUGCACAAUGGGCGAAAGCCUGAUGCAGCGACGCCGCGUGAGGGAUGACGGCCUUCGGGUUGUAAACCUCUUUCAGCAGGGAAGAAGCGAAAGUGACGGUACCUGCAGAAGAAGCGCCGGCUAACUACGUGCCAGCAGCCGCGGUAAUACGUAGGGCGCAAGCGUUGUCCGGAAUUAUUGGGCGUAAAGAGCUCGUAGGCGGCUUGUCACGUCGGAUGUGAAAGCCCGAGGCUUAACCUCGGGUCUGCAUUCGAUACGGGCUAGCUAGAGUGUGGUAGGGGAGAUCGGAAUUCCUGGUGUAGCGGUGAAAUGCGCAGAUAUCAGGAGGAACACCGGUGGCGAAGGCGGAUCUCUGGGCCAUUACUGACGCUGAGGAGCGAAAGCGUGGGGAGCGAACAGGAUUAGAUACCCUGGUAGUCCACGCCGUAAACGUUGGGAACUAGGUGUUGGCGACAUUCCACGUCGUCGGUGCCGCAGCUAACGCAUUAAGUUCCCCGCCUGGGG
This 722-nucleotide ribosomal RNA is filed under the name Actinomycetes bacterium. RNAcentral's name for it is "bacterial SSU rRNA". It matches the Rfam family "Bacterial small subunit ribosomal RNA", at positions 144 to 878 of the family's 1533-position model. Lineage: Bacteria; Bacillati; Actinomycetota; Actinomycetes. The record is from RNAcentral.